CAAGUCCUGUUUCAUGCUUUAUUUAUACUUUUCUUGCUCAUCCUGUUUGCGCAGAUGCAGAUCAAGAGCGGCGGGAAGGGGAAAUCUGCGGGGACGGGCUGCGGCUGCAGAACUUGGGCUCAGUUUGCACCAGCUGCCCCCGGCUCAGCCCUUCAGCUCGGUCCGGGACUGGACCUUCCACCCUCUGAGGGUGGAUGCCGGUUGUUUGUGCUUCCCUACGCACAGCUGGAUACAGGCAGAAAAAAACGUGGCGAGUAGACGUGACCUCCACAGCUGGAAGAAGAAGAGGAAACCACUGGGAACCAACCAUGUGCUCCUUCAAAAGCCGCCAGCCCGGUGCUGCCCUGGACUGUGCACACCCAGCAAUGCCCAGAUAGGUACAGAAAAUGCUUCGUUUUCUCAUGACACAUGGAUCAGCCUUGUGAUGUUCACAUCAAACCAUGUGAGCUUGCCUGUCAAAUUGAUUUGCUACAGUAGUGGUGCCUAACAGAAGUUGUGAUGUCCUUGCGAGCAUGAUCAAGAAAUGCUCUUGCUUAUAGUGCAGGAACACAAAAGGCUCUGCAGUUCCCCUCUGGAUGUGGCCUCGCUGGGGUCACAGGGGCCUUGUGAUGCAAUUCCUUAAAAACCUGGCUGAAAUGGCUCCACUAGGGAGAAAUGACUGUUUGUAGGGUUUUUUUGUGUUUGUUAUUGUUGUUUGGUUGGGUUUGGUUUGGUUUGGUUUGGUUUAAUUUGUUUUGUUGUGUUUAUUUUGUUUGGUUGUGUUUGGUUUUGUUUUGUUCAGAAAAAAAAACAAGCCCUCACCUGAAUCUUGAAUCUUCAUAGCAGUGGUCUCAUGUCUCUAGAUGUGGACAUAUCCCUCCAGGUCUGAGAGGAAUUAUAAAACCUGUUCUAGGUGUGCCUGUCAAUGGAGAUGCUGCAAGAAUGUGCGGGUUGUGUUUCCUCCUUCUGCUUCCAGGAGGGAGUUACAGCUCUGUGAGAUGUUUUUCUGACCUAAGAGCAGAGAUGAGGAUAUAUUUUAUUUUUAUUUUACUUUAAUUUUGGCUCGCACUACAGCACGUGGCUUCUCAUUUGAGUCUGCUAUCGGCAAAGCUGUGGAUCCGUAUAUUAAACAAGCAGGCUGUGAGUUACGAAGAAAACAUGCAUAGAUGGACAAAAUAUGGGGAAAACACCCCUAAUGAUGCAAUGAGACCAGUUACACAUCAUCACUUUUUUUUCUGCACUGCAGAAUUUAGUUUUCAAAGAGAUUUGAGGAAAAAUGUUUUGCUUCAGACCUGGUCACAGAACCAUCUUUGGCAGAAUUGCAGUGUACAGAACCACAAGUUUAUAUUGUUGUGAACUAAUUGGCUUUAUCUCUAUAUUAUGGGUGCAAUUAUUGUUAUUUUCUUAUGUAUAAUAGAUGCAUGUGCAGUUCUAGAAGUUCAUAGAUCACAGCCAACUGUUUUCUCCUAAGUUAAGAGAGAUAUAAAGGAGAGCUGAGGCUGCCUGCAGUAUCAGGAGCUGUGCAUCUCAAUCUCAAAACCAACAAACUCCAGCAUGAGCGAGCACAUCAUGGUUUGUGCAUUGGCAAGCUCAUGUUUUGUGGCUCAAAUCUCCAAGCUGAUGUUUGCCUUUUGGAAGUGAAAUGAAAAGCCGCUCAUUGCAGGCUUCACAGGCUUUUACUCCCAUCUUGACAUUUUAUAAUCAGUAUUCUCGGUUUUGUGAAUGGUUUCUUACCUUUCCUGCCGCAGGGUGUGUGACUAAGAAUCAUUUCCCCAGGAAUUAAACAGGUUUUGCCAAUACGAAGAGUGGAGAGCCCAGCGUAGGGCACAGAACUCCCCGGCUGAUCCGAACCUGCUGAGAGGGCACAUUGUCUGUGUACAAACGUUCACAAGAUUCACAGAGUAAUUCUGACGAUACAAGAAACCUGACAGAUUUACAGACCUAUCGCUGAUCCGGCUGCAGGGUUUGGAAGCUGAUAUAUUUAUGUGAUUCAGCAGCAGCCAGAGGUUGUGGAGGGCUUUUCCCGCAGGGGAUAAUUCUCUGUGCUUGAGAUUUCCUUUGAGAGCCCAGCAGUCCCGCCUCUGGGGAAUCUGCUCUUUCCAGGCAUCUCACAUGGUUAUUUUUGGCUACGUCUGUGGCGAUUUCGACUUUCCCAGUGCAGCUAUUUUUAUAACACAUGGCUGUGAAGUCUAUAGCAUUAGACAUAAUGUAAUCUUGCAUGUUGGAGUGUCCCAGGACUGUAUGUAUGCAAUUACCACCUCUCACACCUGCUCCCUCUUCAUCCUGUAUUCGAAACACUCCUUUACUAUAAGAAGCAGAAGCAUCAGAGGCUUCUAGACAACAGUUCCUUUAUUGAGCAUGCUAAGCUGCCAUAAAUAUUUAAUUAGGUGUUGUUCUAUUUUUGGAGAGAUACAGGAAAAAAAAAUCCCCAUUUCCUUACAUUUAAACAGAAUAUUUUCCUGGUGGAAAAAAUUCCCUGUAUUAAGUAGUGACGGGGAGACGACUUUUAAGAGGGUGAAAGGCUGGUGAAGAGGGGAUUUCACUGAGCAGAGGGUCCACUCCUGUUGUUCUCUCGGUGGGAAGGGAGGCAGCACAUCUCUGCUGUAUCUCGAUUUCUUGUACUCUGGCUUCCCACCCAAACAACCCCAUCUUCAUCUUGCUCUUUUCCACUCAAGAACCGCCUGAAAAUUCCCCCAUCCUUUUCAAUGGUUGAAAAAAAAAAUUGGGACAAGACUAAAGAACCAAAUUCUAAAAUGUUGUAACUGCACUGAUCUCAAAAUCACCGUUUGACAGCACAGAAUUAAAACUGAGUACACUAAACCCAACAGCAACUAUUGUUUCAAUGAAUAUAAAAUUUAUUUUAAAAACAUCAUGCUCUGUAUGUUGUGAACAGCUUCCCAUACAAGUGACAGAGGGGAAACUUAAAGAUCUCUCAACCAGAAUGUCUCUUAUAUAGGCUCUGUCUUUAGAAGCCAAAGAGAACUAACUUACAAGAAAGAUAAAAAAUUAAGUAUGUACGGUUUGGUCAAAAUAAUGAUGAUGGGGAAUUAGGAAGCAAUUUGUGAGUAUGUUAAGGGACAGAAAUUGUUUAGUGUUACAUGUAAUCAGAUUAAACUACCAGUAGAAAAAGCGAAACACAUCCAGACUCAUCACAGGAUGACGGAGAUGCCUCUUUGAAGGGGAACAUUUGGAAACAGACCCUAUGCUGUGGAAAAAAGGGAUAAUAAAGUAUGUUCCAAACGUGUACUGACUAAAUAUCCCGAGAGAUACCUUACAGUCUUGUACUUACUUGAUAUAUGGGUUGUGUGGAAGGUGCGUUUGUUGAUUAAAAUAAUCAUUAUACCUAUUAAAACUGAGCUGACUGCUUCAUUGGCCAAAUACAAGGUAA
This is a long non-coding RNA of Columba livia (rock pigeon), 3367 nucleotides long. RefSeq lists it as uncharacterized. NCBI's taxonomy places the organism in Eukaryota, Metazoa, Chordata, Aves, Columbiformes, Columbidae. The record is from RefSeq and is a predicted model, not a curated record. The transcript is spliced from 2 exons.